UCUACGGGUGGCAGCAGUGGGGAAUAUUGGACAAUGGGCGAAAGCCUGAUCCAGCCAUGCCGCGUGUGUGAAGAAGGCCUUCGGGUUGUAAAGCACUUUCAGUGGGGAAGAAAGCCUUGGGGCUAAUACCCUCGAGGAAGGACAUCACCCACAGAAGAAGCACCGGCUAACUCCGUGCCAGCAGCCGCGGUAAUACGGAGGGUGCGAGCGUUAAUCGGAAUUACUGGGCGUAAAGCGCGCGUAGGCGGUCUGAUAAGCCGGUUGUGAAAGCCCCGGGCUCAACCUGGGAACGGCAUCCGGAACUGUCAGGCUAGAGUGCAGGAGAGGAAGGUAGAAUUCCCGGUGUAGCGGUGAAAUGCGUAGAGAUCGGGAGGAAUACCAGUGGCGAAGGCGGCCUUCUGGACUGACACUGACGCUGAGGUGCGAAAGCGUGGGUAGCAAACAGGAUUAGAUACCCGGGUAGUC
RNAcentral lists this ribosomal RNA (465 nucleotides) under Vreelandella stevensii. RNAcentral describes it as "partial 16S ribosomal RNA". It matches the Rfam family "Bacterial small subunit ribosomal RNA", at positions 338 to 795 of the family's 1533-position model. The record is from RNAcentral. Lineage: Bacteria; Pseudomonadati; Pseudomonadota; Gammaproteobacteria; Oceanospirillales; Halomonadaceae.